GACGAACGCUGGCGGCGUGCCUAAUACAUGCAAGUCGAGCGGACUUUCAAGAAGCUUGCUUUUUGAAAGUUAGCGGCGGACGGGUGAGUAACACGUGGGCAACCUGCCUGCAAGACGGGGAUAACUCCGGGAAACCGGGGCUAAUACCGGAUAAUAUCUUCCUUCGCAUGAAGGAAUGUUGAAAGGCGGCGCAAGCUGCCGCUUGCAGAUGGUCCCGCGGCGCAUUAGCUAGUUGGUGAGGUAACGGCUCACCAAGGCGACGAUGCGUAGCCGACCUGAGAGGGUGAUCGGCCACACUGGGACUGAGACACGGCCCAGAAUCCUACGGGAGGCAGCAGUAGGGAAUCUUCCGCAAUGGACGAAAGUCUGACGGAGCAACGCCGCGUGAGCGAAGAAGGUCUUCGGAUCGUAAAGCUCUGUUGUCAGGGAAGAAAAAGUACCGUUCGAACAGGGCGGUACCUUGACGGUACCUGACCAGAAAGCCACGGCUAACUACGUG
This 499-nucleotide ribosomal RNA is filed under the name uncultured bacterium. RNAcentral describes it as "partial 16S ribosomal RNA". It matches the Rfam family "Bacterial small subunit ribosomal RNA", at positions 28 to 507 of the family's 1533-position model. The record is from RNAcentral.